Molecule: long non-coding RNA, 409 nt
Filed under: Pongo abelii (Sumatran orangutan)
Lineage: Eukaryota; Metazoa; Chordata; Mammalia; Primates; Hominidae
Description: lincRNA
Source: RNAcentral
GGAUCACUUCCGAAACCACUUCGCCCUCAGCCCCUGCCUCGGCCAGAGGUUUCAUUUUUAACUGAAUAUUUACGAAAGCUGGAAGCGUGCGAGGGGGGUGGGGUGGGGUGGAAAUAGCGGCUGCUUCUUUUCCAGGGAUUUAUUUAAUGGGGAUGUGUUCAAGGCAAGAGCGAAUUCAGAAGGAUAUCGACGUCGUGAUCCAGAAGUCCAGAGCUGAGAAGGACUGCCUGUUUGCAGCUUUAAAUCAUCUAGGAACUUCAUAUAAAAUUUAAUUCCAGUUUCAACUAGUUGUGGAGCAUUUGAUCCAAAAUAAAAUGAAAGUCCUCUCUGAAGUUGUAGAGGAGACUCAAGAAUCAGAACAGGGUUUCUUCCAACCUGAAGUUCUUUAAGUUAUGAGUUGAAGGACUAG